This is a long non-coding RNA of Thunnus maccoyii (southern bluefin tuna), 603 nucleotides long. RefSeq lists it as uncharacterized. The transcript has 5 exons. NCBI's taxonomy places the organism in Eukaryota, Metazoa, Chordata, Actinopteri, Scombriformes, Scombridae. The record is from RefSeq and is a predicted model, not a curated record.
GUACUGGAGCAAAUCCUGACUCAUCUGCAGCGGAGAAAACCCAAGCUCCCAUGGGCCACACACUCUUUUUGUCAUCAGCUUGUGAGGAGCAACGAUUUGGAAGAAGAAAUAUGCUCCAUCCAUAUCAGCGGAGCUCGGCUGCCCUGUGAUCAACGUCCCCUCAAGGCGUCCGCUCCCACCCAAAGUGCGUCCAAGAAGAUGAUGCCCUCGGAAAAGAAUGGCACUGCAAGGCCGUGGUUGCAUGGUGACCAUCAAUCAUAAACCACUUGUUCUGGGCGGCAGCCUCAUCACAGUCAAGUGACGAAAUGGUUGCCAAGUGGAGCUCAGUGGUCAAUCAUGUCCAUGAGAGCAACGAGUUUCCCACUAGCCUGCACCCAACCCUCACUGGCGAGGAGGCAAGUGACUGGCUGAAGCCAAGCUCAAAGGCAUGCAAGUUCUCCCGUAUCAUCCUCCAGAAAAGCACAUCGACUUCUUCUCACUGCCAUCCAUUAAAAUGAGGAUGUUGACAGGCCCCGGGCAACUAAUGCAGAUGGAAAUCCGCGCUUCCAGAUUAGCUACCCCAAGCGGAAGAGAGGCGACUACAGUAUAAAGGCCAGUCUACCU